AGAGUUUGAUCCUGGCUCAGAACUAACGCUGGCGGUGUGCUUUAUGCAUGCAAGUCGAACGGACAUUAGCAAUAAUGUCAGUGGCGAAUGGGUGAGUAACACGUAAGCAACCUAUCUUUAAGUGGGGAACAACUCUGAGAAAUCGGAGCUAAUACCGCAUGUGGUCCUUAUGCAUAAGUGUAAGGACUAAAGCCGCAAGGCGCUUGAGGAGGGGCUUGCGUCCGAUUAGCUAGUUGGUGAGGUAACGGCCCACCAAGGCGACGAUCGGUAGCUGGUUUGAGAGGACGACCAGCCACAAUGGAACUGAGACACGGUCCAUACUCCUACGGGAGGCAGCAGCAAGGAAUAUUGGGCAAUGGGCGAAAGCCUGACCCAGCGACACCGCGUGGGGGAAGAAGGCCUUCGGGUUGUAAACCCCUUUUAUCGGGGACGAAUAAUGACGGUACCCGGUGAAUAAGCCUCGGCUAACUACGUGCCAGCAGCCGCGGUAAUACGUAGGAGGCAAGCGUUAUCCGGAUUUACUGGGCGUAAAGCGGGCGUAGGCGGCCUGUCAAGUCGGAUGUGAAAUCUCCCGGCUCAACUGGGAGGGUGCAUUCGAGACUGAUGGGCUGGAGUGCAGCAGAGGGAAGCGGAAUUCCCGGUGUAGUGGUGAAAUGCGUAGAUAUCGGGAAGAACACUAGUGGCGAAGGCGGCUUCCUGGGAUGUAACUGACGCUGAGGUCCGAAGGCGUGGGGAGCAAACAGGAUUAGAUACCCUGGUAGUC
Molecule: ribosomal RNA, 763 nt
Filed under: uncultured bacterium
Lineage: Bacteria
Description: bacterial SSU rRNA
Rfam family: Bacterial small subunit ribosomal RNA
Source: RNAcentral